RNAcentral lists this ribosomal RNA (253 nucleotides) under uncultured bacterium. RNAcentral's name for it is "partial 16S ribosomal RNA". It matches the Rfam family "Bacterial small subunit ribosomal RNA", at positions 524 to 776 of the family's 1533-position model. The record is from RNAcentral.
UACGUAGGGGGCAAGCGUUGUCCGGAUUUAUUGGGCGUAAAGAGCGUGUAGGCGGCUUUACAGGUCCGUUGUGAAAACUCGAGGCUCAACUUCGAGCUGUCGGUGGAAACUUUCUGGCUAGAGUCCGGAAGAGGAGAAUGGAAUUCCUGGUGUAGCGGUGAAAUGCGCAGAUAUCAGGAAGAACACCCGUGGCGAAGGCGGUUCUCUGGGACGGUACUGACGCUGAGACGCGAAAGCGUGGGGAGCGAACAGG